GGAGUUGGGAUUCUGAACAGGUGGUUUGUUCGUAGGUUAGUGGGGAGAAAUUUGAGGUAUUUGGGUAUAAUCAUAUUAUUUUUUCUUUUUGAUAUUUUUUUCUCUCUCUGAAAACUCCCAAAAUUUUUUACGUUCAUUUUUUUUUGUUCUGGAAAAAUUCUUUUUGUUUUCUUGCUUUUGAAAUUCCAUCGCAAUUCUGUCAUUCAAGUUCGGUUUUCAGUUCUUCGGUGUCCUUGCGCGGUUUGGUAAGUGUAAAGGGUGUUUUCAUGUGGGUUGGGGAAAUCGUUUUAAUUGUUCAAAUCAAUGCUAUUCCUUUAUUUCUGUUGUUGAUUUCGAGUUUUGGCAGUAGUGAAUCGGGAAGAAAGAGGCUCUCCUCUCGCGAAAUCGUAAUUGAAAUCAUUCUGAGUGUUGGGUUAAGUGAUGAAUGUUUGAAUUGAAC
This 439-nucleotide long non-coding RNA is filed under the name Gossypium raimondii (Peruvian cotton). RNAcentral's name for it is "long non-coding RNA (GRAI_LNC008654)". The record is from RNAcentral. Lineage: Eukaryota; Viridiplantae; Streptophyta; Magnoliopsida; Malvales; Malvaceae.